Oncorhynchus tshawytscha (Chinook salmon) is the source of this 4384-nucleotide long non-coding RNA. The record is from Ensembl. NCBI's taxonomy places the organism in Eukaryota, Metazoa, Chordata, Actinopteri, Salmoniformes, Salmonidae.
GUUUAAAGAGAUGAGCCAUUAUGAGGUGGAGCCGUCCACCAACCCAAGAACACACUCAACACUAUGGUAUCCAAACUAGUGUCAGAUUGACUCUUACUUUCAGGGGACGUCAUAAGACACAGGUGAGGUCCUUGGGAACAAGGCUGCAUGCAUGUUCAUCAGAAUUUGGGUGAAUGAAAAAAAACUAGAAGAGGGGUUGAAUGAUAUAAUCGGGAUCAAGAAGAUGUCAUCAGAUGAACAAGCAAGAAAGCAUGGAAGUAUCAUCACCAAAAGCAUCAGUUACCCUACCAGAAUUGUAAACAUGUUCCAUUGCAUGUGACAUGACUUGAUAACCUGUGUCCAAUGCAUUUGCAAUGUAUUUAGAAACUAAAAAGGCACUCCAAACAACCUUUAAGGUGUUUGUGAAAGCAAAGACGGGUGGAAUGCUUUUUUAAUGUGUUAAAAUACGACUUGUGUUACAAGAAAAUGUGUUAUUGUGAAAUGAUAGUAUAUCAAACAAGUUUUGAGCAUUUACAUUUCCAGUAGGUUGCCCUCACAAAAUGAUUUAAUAGAAUAAUCAUAUGUGUACUAUUAGCAAAUAAUAUCGCUAAAGUUCAAUGUACUAGAUAGAGGAAAGACCAAUUUUCUUGGAAAAUAUGGAUAAGGAAGGUAAUCAUGUUCAAUGAAUGGCAUUGUAAAUCAGGAUGGUAAAAUGAUGUCACACAAGCAAUUAACAAAGGUAUGUAUGGCAUAUAACCAACUCAUCACAGCUCUACGACAAAAAUGAAAGACAAUUUCUCAAAAGAGAAAGGAAUUAAUUGUUUUUUCUGCCUCCAAUGAAAAACCAGGCAUGGCUUAAAAUGAAUAGUAUAAAUCGUAAAAUAUAUCAGUUUCAUUUAACUAUUCUGCAUAAAAUUCAAGAUAGUUGGGAACAGAUUUUUGAUGUCCCAAUACCAUGGGAUCAGGUUUAUGAACUGAUAUACAAAACAACAAUUGACGCAUUAAUCCGUUCUUUUCAAUGUAACCAUUAUAUAAAAUUCUCACCACGUGGCCUCCCGAGUGGCGCAGUGGUCUAAGGCACUGCAGUGCUUGAGGCAUUUCUGCAGAUCCAUGUAAGAUCCCGGGCUGUGUCGCAGCCGUCUGUGACCGGGAGACCCAUGAGGUGACGCACGUUUGGCCCAGUGUCGUCCGGGUUAGGGGAGGGUUUGGCCGGCCGGGAUGUCCUUGUCCCAUCGCGUUCUAGUGACUCCCGUGGCGGGCCGGGCGCAUGCACGCUGACACGGUCGUCAGUUGUACAGUGUUUCCUACAACACAUUAGUGCGUGUGGCUUCCGGGUUCGGCAAGCAGUGUGUCAAGAAGCAGUGCGGCUUGGCCCUCGACCUUCACUUCUCCCGAUUCCGUACAGGGGUUGCAGGAUGGGACAAGACUGUAACUACCAAUUGGAUAUCAUGAAAUUGGGGAGAUUAUUAUUUUUUUUUUUACAUUCUCCCCACUAAAAUAAUGCUCAAUAUAUGGGGCAUUGAACAGUCGGCUCUUUGCGGACUCUACCAUGAGGAUUAUCAAUAGAUAAUCUCUUUUGACAUUGUCCUUCGGUGACUCACUUUUGGAGAGGUCCAAGAGUUGUUGUUUAUGUGAUAAUGCCAGAGAAGCCAGUGUUAGGAUUUAAAUACUGGCACGGGUGUUGUUAGGACAGUGACGAAGUCGAGCAAACCGUGCCAAUAUAUCCUUCAAACACCGGCUUCGAGGGCAUUAUCACUUUUAUACAACGGCUUACCAACAUAUUCAAAUAAUGAUUGACAUAUUUUCUUUAAAAACUUUCAGUAUUUUUUGUUCUGUAUCUAUGGACGCGACCCAGUCGUUCAUUCUAAAUGUUCCAUUGACAUACUGGCUGGCAACAUUCUGCUUGCUAGCUAGCCAACUAGUUAACUAGCUAACUUACAGUCACAUCAAAAAGUGCAGCCAGAAUAACAGCAAAGUAACCACGUUUGCAUUUGUUUAAACUGUUUUCUUAGUGACAUUAAUUUCGAUACAUCCAUAACAAUGAGCGAAUGAGGUGCGAUUUCGCCUGGCAAAGAAAAUUUGCUCACUCAUCAGGACACUGUUGUUCAGAGGAGCUAGCCAACAACACAGCUAGCACAAUCACUUCAAACUGAAACUGGAAAGACUGCAAACUAUCUUCGUUUUGUUUGACCUUUUUUCAAUUGACAUUUCUUUGAAUAUAUCCAUAAAAAGUUAUGCCAGCUGAUUCAUGAUUACGACUGGCUGAGAUACGCUGCCUGCCUGUCUGUCUCGUCUGGACUCCAGACAUAUUCAUUACUAUGGGACAGCUGGAGAUCGAAUUUGAAUAUUGAAACAAUGUUGCAAAUGUCCGAGAGACAGGCAGCAAGGUUUAUACAAAUCUUCGCUGUAGAAAAUGAAAUGUUAGUCUAGAAGAAAUAUGAGAUAAUGUCUAGAUGCUUUUUAUAGUAGAGAUCAAGUUUAUACAUUUCUUGGCUGGGCUGAUGAGAGAGUAGAUUGCGCAGAUGGAACAGGCACCGGUGGAACUUGUGGAAUAAACACCAGCCGGAAUGUGGUUUUAACCAAUCUGCAUUCAGGAUUAGGCCCACCCGUUCUAUAAUAAAUCAUAAAAUCUGUCAUCAGAUGGACCUACAAACAGUAUUGUUAAGAGAUUUGAAAAACAAGCAUCAAUCAAUGGGAAAUAUGAUUAUACUCCUAGGUAAAAAAUAUUUAUUUUUAGGGCAAUCUCGAUAGAAAUGCUACAAAUAGAGAGGUUCAAGACCCUUGUAAAACAUCACAGUAAAAUAGAAGGAUGUAUUGCAAAGGGAAAUAGUAAAAUGGUAGUGUACUGGGAAAGAUGGGUUAGUCUAUGGACAUCUGAGGGUUGGAAUUAAGAUUGGAGCGAUUGGUUGAUUGGCCAUAUAAAUAUAUACCAGUACCAGUCAAAAGUUUGGAAGCACCUACACAUUCCAGUGUUGUUGUUUAAAAAAAAACUAUUUUCUACAUUGUAGAAUAAUAGUGAAGACAUCAAAACUAUGAAAUAAUACAUAUGGAAUCAUGUAGUAACCAAAAACAUCAAAAUAGAUUUUUAGAUUCUUCAAAGUAGCCACCCUUUGCCUUGAUGACAGCUUUUCACACUCUUGGCAUUCUUUCAACCAGCUAUUUGGUAAAAGACCAAGUUCAUAUUAUGUCAAGAACAGCUCAAAUAAGUUAGGAGAAAUGACAGUCCAUCAUUACUUUAAGUUAUAAAGGUCAUUUAAUCCGGAAAAGUUUUAUAAUGAAACUGUCUCUCAUGAGGACCGCCACAGGAAACGAAGACCCAGAGUUACCUCUGUUGCAGAGGAUAAAUUAAUUAAUAACUGCACCUCAGAUUGCAGCCAAAAUACACUUUUUUUGGUUACUACAUUAUUCCAUAUGUGUUAUUUAAUAUUUUUGAUGUCUUCACUAUUAAUCUGCAAUGUAGAAAAUAAGAAAAAUAAAGAAAAUCCCUUGAAUGAGUUGGUGUGUCCAAACUUUUGACUGGUCCUUUAUUGGCCAGUCCAAAAUUACUUUAAUUCUGUAAUGGAAAUAAAUGUAUUUCCUUUUACCAAGUAAUUUACGGUGUCUAUGCCUUUAGUUUUCCAUGUGGACCAAGUUAUCGUGGAAUGCUGAAAGCAAAGGAUUGGCCAUAAGGUUGUGUUUUUAGGAAGUGAUAUUGGUUUUUGUACAACAAUUUUCUUCCAUAUUGUUAUAGUUUUCUUAACUAUGAAGUUUUUAAUGUUCUUUGCUUUAUCCUUUGAAAAUAGACACUUAAAAAGAUUCUGUGGAUGAGUCUGCACAUCUUCAAUAUGUACCCAUUGUUCCUCUUUAGUGCAUUUAACUGCAUGUCGCAAGUAAAAGCCUUGAGUAGCGAGUUGAUACAAUUCCAAGACUGGAAAAUGUCAAUAUUUUACUAGACCAUAGAAAGUCUGUUAUGACCGAGAAUACUUUUUUAGAGAAUGUCUUCGGUGGGGUAAUUUAUAUUGCUUAAAUAAAUACAAAAACCUUCAGAGCCAUGCCAUUCUAAAGAGGUUUAUUCUGCCUGUAAGAUUUAUGGAAAGAUUAUUGUUUUUAAUUUGAUCUGCUUUCAUAUUGUUGAGUAAUAGAAUAAAGUUAUCGUCAUACACUGAACAAAAAUAUGUAAAGUAUGCAACAUGUAAAGUGUUGGUCCCAUGUUUCGUGAGUUGAAAUAAAAGAUCACAGAAAUGUUUUGUAUGCACAAAAAGCUUAUUACUCUCAUAUUUUGUGCACAAAUGUAUUUAUAUCCCUGUUAUUGAGCAUUUCUCCUUUGCCAAGAUAAUCCAUCCACUUGAUGAGUGGCAUAUCAAGAAGCUGAUUAAACAGCAUGAUCAUUAAACAAGUGCACGUUGUACUGGGGACAAUAAAAGGC